RNAcentral lists this ribosomal RNA (519 nucleotides) under uncultured bacterium. RNAcentral's name for it is "partial 16S ribosomal RNA". It matches the Rfam family "Bacterial small subunit ribosomal RNA", at positions 899 to 1397 of the family's 1533-position model. The record is from RNAcentral.
ACUCAAAUGAAUUGACGGGGACCCGCACAACCGGUGGAGCGUGUGGUUCAAUUCGAGACGAAACGAAGGACCUCACCAGGGCUUGACAUGGUACCGUACAUUUUCCAAGAAACUGGAAGAAAUCCGCAAGGAUGGUAUCACAGGUGUUGCAUGGCUGUCGUCAGCUCGUGCCGUGAGGUGUUCCCUUAAGUGGGGAAACGAGCGCAACCCCCAUCUAAUGUUAAAUUUUUCAUUAGAGACGGUCCCAUCUCAAAGGAUAGAAGAGGUUUCUAUUUUUUGAGAUGGGAAGGAAGGAGGGGAAGACGUCAAGUCAGCACGGCCCUUACGCCCUGGGCCACACACACACUACAAUGGCGAAGAACAAUGGGCUGCGAGCUAGCAAUAGUAAGCCAAUCCCUCAAAUUUCGCCUCAGUUCAGAUUGGGGUCUGAAACUCGACCCCAUGAAGUCGGAAUCGGUAGUAAUCGCGGAUCAGCAAGCCGCGGUGAAUACGUUCUCGGGUCUUGUACACACCGCCCGU